CCUACGGGCGGCAGCAGUGGGGAAUAUUGGACAAUGGGGGCAACCCUGAUCCAGCCAUGCCGCGUGUGUGAAGAAGGCCCUCGGGUUGUAAAGCACUUUCAGUGAGGAAGAACGCCUGGUGGUUAAUACCCAUCAGGAAAGACAUCACUCACAGAAGAAGCACCGGCUAACUCCGUGCCAGCAGCCGCGGUAAUACGGAGGGUGCGAGCGUUAAUCGGAAUUACUGGGCGUAAAGCGCGCGUAGGUGGCUUGAUAAGCCGGUUGUGAAAGCCCCGGGCUCAACCUGGGAACGGCAUCCGGAACUGUCAAGCUAGAGUGCAGGAGAGGAAGGUAGAAUUCCCGGUGUAGCGGUGAAAUGCGUAGAGAUCGGGAGGAAUACCAGUGGCGAAGGCGGCCUUCUGGACUGACACUGACACUGAGGUGCGAAAGCGUGGGUAGCAAACAGGAUUAGUACCCUUGUAGUC
RNAcentral lists this ribosomal RNA (464 nucleotides) under Vreelandella stevensii. Its description in RNAcentral is "partial 16S ribosomal RNA". It matches the Rfam family "Bacterial small subunit ribosomal RNA", at positions 338 to 795 of the family's 1533-position model. Lineage: Bacteria; Pseudomonadati; Pseudomonadota; Gammaproteobacteria; Oceanospirillales; Halomonadaceae. The record is from RNAcentral.